GCCGGCGCUGAGCGCGGGAAGCGGUUUCCUGUUCUACUGGCGGGAGUCAUCCUCCUCUGGCGCGGUUUCGCGGUCUUCGGCACCAUCCCCCCAAAAUCUUCAGACAUCCGCACCUUCCCGCACUGCAGGCGCUGUCUCUGUCUCUGUCCCGCGCCGUGGGUCGCCGCGCUCCGGAGUGUCACGUGACUGCUGAUCCGCGUUCAUGAGAGGUGUCCUCAGGGAGAGCGUGGAUUGUGAAGUCCCAGGUAAGUGGUGUCCUGCCUGGUUCUCUAGAGCUCAAGUCUGUGCAGGCUGCGAGGCCACAGGUGUUUAGCUUAUGAGGUGUGGGGAGAAAGUGCAGGUGAAGGCUGCUUCCCAGUGCCACCAGCUUUGUCCCCUUGAGCCGGCAGGCACAGGUCUGGGCCUGCUUCUGAGAGUCCCCAGUGAACGCCACUAUGAUGUUGAGAGGAAAACAGCAGUGUGCUGGAGUAAUGGACAGAGGGCUGCAUUUCAGAGUCAAACCUCCAUUCAUAUUCAGUGACCAGCUGUGUGUGCUUCUGUAAGCCUGAGUCUCCUGUCAGGUGUGCGGUAUUGGUACCACUUACUCCCAGUCUUUCAGAAGCCAGGGAUUCUCAGUAUUUGUGCUGUUAGUCUUCUCUCCAACUCUUGGCAGGGAGUGGUAAAUAAUCUCUGUAAAUCAGUGGUAGCUGCUGUAAUCUUAGGCUGAAAAUCUGGUCAUUGACUCGUCUGCACAUCUGUUCCUAGUUCACGCUCCCUCCCAGGAUGCUGGAAAACCUCUCUCCUCGGCUCACUCAUGGGCCCUUUCUGCACCUGCAUUCGAAAGUGAUCGUGGGCUGCCUGUGCCCUGGUCAUUGAUAGUGCAGGGAGAGCAAAUGCUGAAAGCCUUUCCCCGUGUUUGGAGGACCCAUCCUGUCCUUUUCAAACCCUGGAGCUUUCGUACACGCCAUCCUUCCUGCCAGUUUGUGUGACAUCCUGGUACCUGGCUCUGGGUGGCUCCCUGGGCACUCCUCUUGCCAAGCAGGGCCCUGCCUCAGGGAGUUGAUGUUAAUGGGUUCAUGGUCACUCCCCUCCUGGAAGCUUUCUUGGCCUCCCCAUUGCACCCCUUCCUGCAUUCUUGGCCCCGCCCCUCAGAAUAAUCACACCUGGAAAUUGGGGGCUUACUUCUCCUGCCCUGUGCUGUAAGCUUGAGGGCAUUGCCUGACUUGUAACACCUGGACAAAAACCCCAAACAAGGAGAUGGAGGUGACACAUGGUUGUGACGUGAUAGCGUUCAUCCAGUUGUGGAGUGUCUGGGGAACAAUGCCCUUGAGCAUACCCGCCUGCCGAGGCUGAGGCAGUCUCCUUUUCUUUUCCCACUGGAGUGCUGUUUCUCUACUGAGGGGUGGACUUAAUUACAGUCCCCCUUGAGUCCUGGCCGUGGGCAGGGCCCAUGGUCCACCGGGGGUGAUCUUCCUUCUGCCCUUAGCUUAAGAGACAGGGACUAGUAGUAAUUGAGCUGGGCAAAGCACAAUAUAGUUGAGAAUAUACAUAAAGCAGCCCUUACACUAGUUGGUGGACGUGGGGCCCUCCCACUGCUGGUUACCCCUCCCAGUCCAUUCUAGUCGCAGCCACUCAGCUAUGGCACUCUCCCCAAAACCAGGCCUCGGCAUCCUUUAACAGACUGAUUAGCAACAGACUGAUCACAGUUGGCACAUAGGAUAACAUGGAUGUUACUUCUGUCACAGGUGAUCUGCAGACCCCUUCCUAGAGUUAAAUUGUUCUUGUCCUAAGACAGUAGUAUGGCCAUUGAGGUGCCAGUAGUAACAGCCUGCAUUUGUGGGUGCUGUAAUCUGCCAGCCACUGCCCACCAGGGCCUGCUGUGAGUGCCCGUUCGUGCCUUGUCUCUUGCAGAUGUGUCUGCAGUGCAGAGGCUUCGUGGGAGACAUCGUCUUCAUAUCAGCCAGGUGCUAGACCCUGGGCCCUGCGGUAAGGUUUUGGGCCGUUCUCUGGAUUUGCGUGUGUCUCUAAAGUCAUGUGCAUUUUCCCUGGGGCUUUGGUGAUGAUGUGAGGAGAAAUGAGGUGGCAGGUGAACGUGGCAUCCCGUGAGUUCCCAGUUGUGUCCUGGCUGUGGGGCAGUCCCUCACGUGCCUAUAGGGGAGAGGCCUCUAGAAACUCACUUGGAUAGAGGGCUCCCUGGGCAUCUCCCUUCUGAGGACUGGGCUGUCAGCAGCGUGCUGUGUGGAAAGCACGUGGAUUUAGGCACCGGAGACUCUGGUUCCACCUCUGGGCCCGUGCAGCUCUGUGACCUAUUCUCAACCUCCAUUUCUUCACCUGAAAAGCAAAGCUGGGAUAGCAGAGAAGGUUUUUAAAAAAAUUUUCAUGGUGAUGUCGUGACCACAUGAUUCUGAUCAUUUCCAACCCAAAAGCAUUUCCAAUUUUUUACGCUGGAAGUGUCCCGGCUCCCUAUGGCAGGGAAGUUUUAUGGGGUCUUCACAGGACACAUCAGAAGCUACUGGGGCUCUCUGCUGGGCUGGGCCACUCUCCUCGACUCAGGCCAUGCCCCAGGUCCCUGGCACCAGCCUCCUGUCCUUUGUAGUUCUCUUUCUGUCCUUUUCUGCCCCUGCAUUCGAAAGUGAUUGUGGGCUGCCUGUGCCCUGGUCAUUGAUAGUGCAGGAAGAGCAAGUGCUGAAAGAUGUUUUCCCCGUGUUUGGAGGGUCCCAUCCGUCCCUUCCAAACCCUGAAGCUUUCCCACACUAGCUUUUCUCCUGCCCUUCCCCUCAGAGCUUGGGCCUUUGCUGGCCCCCAUGUGCUAUGGUGAGUGGUCUAGCCCCGUGACUUGUGGUUCACUUUGUCUUUUCAAGUUAAGGGUUGUCUUGUCAGAAACCAGUCUAUGCCUUUAUGUUUGGACCUCACACUGGAAUAAAUUCAGAUAGUGCUGAAGGGCACAAGUGCACACUGUAAAUCAUGGGUUCUGCUUUAUGAAUUUAUAGGAAUGGAGGAUAAUCCAUAAUAAUACAUUAUUCAAGACAGCUUGUGACCUAAAUGCUUGUUUGUGUGUCAUCUUUGCUCCUCUACUCUUUCUUGAGCACAACUUGUGUCCCUUCUCCAGGAGCUGUCAGUAAUGUCCAAUAAGUGGAGAAACAAAAAUAACGUUAGGGGCCAGGCGUAGGGGCAAAGAGGGAGUGAUUCAAUUCUGAGUCAGUAAAAAAAGUUCUCAUUUGUCACGGUCUGCCAGCAGCCCAGGGAGUUUUCUUGUCAGCCACUGAUGAGAGAGGAGUACGUUGACUUGCCAACCUGUUUGUAACCCUCCUUUCACUGACUUUUACUCUGUGCUCUUGUGGUUUGUCUUGAAAAGAGAAAGGGUCUCUUGACCCCAGGAGUUUAUUAGAGAAGAAGUUCUCAGGCCUGUGGACCCUUGAAAUCUGUAUUUGUAGACUCAGGACUCCCUAGCUUGCUUUCUGGCUCAUGUUAGUGAGAAUAUUGUGUUGCUGCUUGGGCUCCCUGCCAUGUAGUCAGGGAUCAGCAGGUAGGCUGACCUUCUGCCUUUCAUUCUGUGUGCUGCAGAGGUGUUCCGUGGGAGGCAGAACCCUGUGAAGGUACCUUCAUCUGUAGACUCAGAAGAUGCUCCACGGUGCUUCUGACAGUUGUGUCUUGGCUCCCGGGUAACAGGUGAGGCGAGGUUGGAGGUGAGGUCAAAGUAUCUAUCCCAUUGAUCCUCCACUUUUGGUCCCAUGGCUCCUGUCUGGUUCCCAAGUCCUCUUCUGUCUACAUUCAGGACUCUUGUCUUUGAGGAUGGGGUCCUGUAUUUUGUUCCAUCUCAUGAGACGUGGAGGCAGUGAGAAUAAUAUGUGUGAACUACCUGGUACUCUGUAGCCACCUGAGAGCCCCCUGGUCUUUCAGACCUGCCUUCUGCCCCUUUUACAUCAGAGGCUUGUCCUGUUCCACAGCCUACUUCCUGGUCCUGCAGCUCCUCAGCCAGUCUGGAGGGUUUAAUGGACAAUGACGGUUUUGAAAAGACAGUUUAUCUUCCCCGACCCCAGACCUGGUAAUGUAGACCUCGGUGUAGAGUCUUGUGGGUUGAAUUGCAGUUCACUUGUUUAAUGUCCUCAAGCAUUGAUGAUGUUUUCUUAUUUAUCCUUCAAAUGGGCCUGGCAGUCUUGAUCUUCAAAGAUCUGGGCACCUAACACAUCUUGCUGGAAGUUUACCUUUCAUUUGCCUUUCUUGAUGCGUCAUAUUAAGUGGGUCUUUGCAGAAUGGCGUGAUGGCUGCUGGGGCCUUGUGACAGGCUGGGCAGACAAGUAAUGACACUAUGGUAGGAGAGCUGCUGAGGAAGGUCUGUCCUUUUGAUCAAGAUGCAGUGGGACUUCAGUGUCAAAGCCCCUGACAGCACUGAGCUGUCUUCCUGUGAAUUACCCUGUCUGGUCAUGAACUGCUUGAAAGGAAGUCAUUUAUUAUAAAAACUAGACUUUUAAGAUGUAUUUCCUUUGUUACCCUUUCUAUUCUGGUGAUAGCUAGUUCGGCGUGCAUAAACUGGGAGCUUGGGUCUGGGUGACUGGGACUCUCAGUGAUGUCACUUGGGAAGAAGAUGGCGUUGGAGACUAAACGCUAGUAUGCAUCCUCUCCCUCCUAGGUCAGCCUUAUAUCCGGAGACUCUUGAAGGAAGUCCCAAGGCCAUGAGUCUGUGAUCCUCGGGGUGCCUUGAGAUCUGGGUUUGCUGAUAUUUCUCCCCUAGAUUCUCUUGGUGGUGGUCUUGGACACCAGAUGGGGCAGAGAAUGGAGAUUGAGGUCCCCACAUGAAGCGUCAUCAGAGCUCCUCCUCAUUGUCUGCUCAGAGCAUCAUGGAACAAGUGUUCAUUCUGCACAAGAGAUCAGAGGGAAAGCGCUGGGACUGGGGGCUUGGGGUCCACUUCAGCUGGCUCUGAGUCUUGAUACAGCAGUACCCUUAGAGGGCCAUGGACAGGGAAGGCCAGCCCCGUGUCCCUCUGCCAUGCAUGGAAUGACUUUAUUUUUUUUGAGGAAGAUUAGCCCUGAGCUAACUACUGCCAAUCCUCCUCUUUUUGCUGAGAAAGACUGGCCCUGAGCUAACAUCCAUGCCCAUCUUCCUCUACUUUAUACGUGGGACGCCUACCACAGCAUGGCUUUUGCCAAGAGGUGCCAUGUCUGCACCCGGGAUCCAAACAGGCGAACCCCAGGCCACGGAGAAGUGGAACGUGUGCACUUAAUCGCUGUGCCACCGGGCUGGCCCCAGGAAUGACUUUAAUAACCAAGAGUUUUUCUCUUGAAUUUGUAGCUACUCAUCACUUUCCUCUCCACUCCCCCAUUCAAUAAACCUUACACACUUCCUCCACCUGCCUUUUAAAUCAGUAACAAGCCACAUGCCAGCGAAGCUUGGCCUGGAGAAAGUGGGUCACAGACUAGAUCUUGUUUUCUGUCCUUGAGCCUUUCCUCUCGCACUCCUGAGGCUUGACACAUAGGCUGUUUUUUGAGGUGUUCACUUAGGGCCAGGAGGUGAACAAAUGCUGGUGGUUGGCUCAGAUUUAGGACCUGUGAGGGUUGAGAGUGUUGAGGAACAAGCCAGAGCUUUGGAAGGGUGGCCUGGAGGGAGACAAGUGCUGGUGUCAUCUGGGGAAGCUGGGAUGUCCUGGAGUUCUGGAGCCUGGCUCAUGAGUAAAUGCCUGCUUGUGUGACCAUCUGUCCUAGUUUGCUUGGAAUUGAGGGGUUUCCCAGGAUGUGGGAGUUUUCGUUGCUGAAACCAGGAAAGUCCCAGGCACACUGGGACAAGUUGGUCAGCUUAUCUAAGGUGUAAAAUACAUGGUGUCAACUUCAGAGGACAAGUUACUGUGUAAAGAUGGGAGCAGGGUGAGCACGGAGCAGCUCCCAUUGGUGGACAUUGGGAAUGUCCUCAAGGUCAGGCUCUUGGAGAUAAUUGGAGUAAAAUCAAUAAUUGCAACAGUGUGAUAAUGUGCUAAGGAUGUGCGUGCAUGAACUCUUUAAUCCCCAUUUUACAGAUGGAGGGGUCUAUAUGAAGGAAUGUGUCCCAAAGGCCAUGAUGAAAGGCUGGAGUUAGUUGUCCAACUGAAACCACUUUGGCUGAGCUGAGGCGGAGUUCUGCCUGGGAAGCCUUCCUUGAUGAGUUUGCCACCUUCAUGGUCUUCUCUGCUGGAGCAGGCAUUCUUCGUGGCUGAAAUGUUCACUCUGCCAGCCAGUUCCCGGCAGACGCAUCCAGAAGUCAAAAGUCCUUUUUCUACCUCGCCCCGAGGACUAUCCUCUGACUUCUGUUUGCCACCUUUAGUCAGCUGGUUGUAGCUGCCUAGAAAGGUGCCGAGAGAAGGGAUCUGGGUCCACUUGAGAAAGCUGUGACUGGUUGUUCAUGUGUGUUGCACACGUUUGUUUUUGAGCCGGACACCAAGCUAGAAAUAGGGGUACAAUAGUGAAUAAGAGUUUCUGCCCUCAAGGGAAUCACCAAUAAGUAUAUAGGUAACGUGUUCAUAUACCAAACGUUUAUGGAACAUGCCCUGCUGCUGUGCACUGCUGUAGGUGUUGGGGAUACAGCUCUGAACAAAAGAGGUUGCCCCACAGACCUUGUUUACAGCUGCUGUCCCUUAUGGUAAGACACUAGCCGUGUGUGGCUAUUUUUUUUUUUUUGAGGAAGAUUAGCCCUGAGCUAACAUCUGCUGCUAAUCCUCUUUUUGCUGAGGAAGGCUGGCCCUGUGCUAACAUCUGUGCCCAUCUUCCUCUACUUUAUAUGUGGGACGCCUACCACAGCAUGGCAUGCCAAGUGGUGCCAUGUCCACACCUGGGAUCUGAACUGGCGAACCCCAUGCUGCCAAAGUGGAACAUGUGCACUUAACUGCUGUGCCACCAGGCUGGCCCCAUGUGUGGGUAUUUAAAUUGAUUUAAAAGUUUAAAAUUCAGGUCUUCAGUAGCCCCAGCCAGAUUUCAAGUGCUCAAUAGCCACAAGUGGCUGCUGUGUAGGACAACACAAUACGUAAAGUAUUUCCCUCAUUGCAAGAUCAGACAGCGCUGAUCUAGAAGAUAAGGAGUUCAAGGCUAAUUCUGUGAAAGAAGAGUGUCGCUGGGACACUUACAGGAAGGCUGUCAUCUGAGGAGUCCAAAGAAGGCUGGUGUGCCCGAUGCCGGGUCCCUGCCGAUGAGGGUGGUUAUGGUUAUGUGGGUGCGUAAGGCUGGGGCAGUGGCUUGGAGGGGGUGUGAGAUCACUGGCUUUAGAGUCGCACAGACGAGGUCUAACCCAGCUGGGUGACAUAAGGCAGGUUUCCAUCACCUGACCUCAGUUUCCUCUUAUAAAAUAAGGACUAUAGGAACGUGUUGAGGUAAGGAUUAAACAGGCUGAUGUCUAUAAAAACCUGUGUGGUGUGUGCCUUCAGGAAGUGUUAGUAAUUGAUAGCUAUUUAUUGAAGGUUCCUCUGCACCAUACCAAGAUUGGUCUUUUUGAAUUUUUUUUUCUUGUCUUGGGGGCUUUUGGGGUAUAAUCCCUAAUGCUGAAGUUUCCAGGAAAGUAAAAAUAGUUCCCCUCCUUUUACAGUAUAAGAUUUGUGUAAUGUACUGAUUAGUAGAUAUUUAGAAGCAUUUACCCCCAAAUUAGAGGAUAUAUGGUAUUCUCAAGCAUAUAAAGAGCAUUUACAAAUACUUCUUAUGUUCUAGGUUACACAACAAGUCAUGAAUACCGAAGAAUCAGAGUCAUACUACAUUUGUACUACAAUAGAGUUAAGGACCAAAAAAAUUUUUAAAAAAGCAGGUUUGAAAAAAUGCUUGUGUUUGGGAAAUUUUAAAACGUGUUUGAAAAUAACUCAUCAAUGAUACCAUAAGGGGAGUUAGAGAAUAACUGUAACUGAAUGGUAAUGACAAUUUGUACGUACCAAAACUUGGGGGAUGUAGCUAAGGGAAUUCCUCAGGAGAAGUUAUCCUUCACAUGCUUAGUGUAGAAGAAAAGCUGAAAUUUAGUAAGUAAUAAAAAAGAAAAUAGAAGUAAUGAGAAUAAAAAUGAGAGCAGAAACUCAAGCAGAAGGCAAAAACAAUAAUGAAGAUCAACAUGGCUAAAAGUUGGUUUUUUGAAAAGACAUGAAACUGAUGAAAGAAUAAUUUUAGGAAGGGAAAAGGACAUAGGACAGAGCUGUGAUUAAAAAGUUGGAGAAUAAUAUAGAUUACUUUCUACCUAUAAAAAUUUAAACUGACAAAGUGGACACCUCAAAACAUCAAACAAAAUUGCCGCAAGGAGAAAUGGAAAACUUGAAUAGUCUGAUAAAAACCCACAAGGGACAGUUCAGUCAGAAAGCCUUUUGCAACAUGGACUUUUUUUGUCAUUGUUAAAGCUGUGACUUUCUGACGAGAAAUCUUUGAUCCGUCCUUUAAUAGACAUAUGACCAAAAAAAAGUCCCAUUGCUGGAGACGAUGAACAGUCCAUUUGGAGGAGUGUAAAGGGACCCUGAAGCUUUGGCUUCAGACUCUAAAGUUUUGUCAGAAUUCGGUUGUAAACGGGACAUGCAUGAGAAACAUCAUUUUCAGGCCUUUAAAAUUUCCCUACCAAUGUUUAAGGUGGCAGCCACUUACCCCUACUAAAGCGCUGAGACUGAGCAGCUCCCACUAAUGUAAUCAGAGUGGAAGAGGGGGAGAACCUCUCUUGAGGAAUAGGUUUCUGAGGAUGUGAGGGCUUACCUUGGAGUACGAACGUGAACAGUGAAGACAUUGAUGGACUAGUAGCUCUGGGUUUAUAUGAUAAAGUGCUCUGUGAUUGUCACUGAUACACAAGGAUGUUGAAACCUCGGAACAAUCAUGGGACAGUUACUGCCUCAGUCUUUUUGCUUGGACAUAACUGUUUGAAAAGUACAAAAUUAUGGAAAUGUUUUUAUAUGAACAUAGUUUAUACAUAAUUAACUCGGGAAGAUGGACCGUCUCUUUUGUCAGUUUUGUGUUUUUUAUCCUAAAUUUGGUAAACAAAAACUGUCACAAUUUUGGGUUGGAGAAUACUAAAAUCUAAUUUUAUCUUUCAUCCUUUUUAAGAUGAAGGAGCAGAUCUUUGUUUACCUGGUGGCCAUUCAAGGAAACCGAAAGAUAGUUUAGGCAUAAAAGGCAUUUUAAUCACUUUAUUAUUGUGAGUUUGGGAAAGGGAAAGUCAAGAAGAACUGUAAGAGGAGACAAAAUGUGAACAUGUCACAAUUUUUCAAUGUAAAAACAUUAUUAUAGACAAAAUUUUUUAAAAAUCACAGCAAAAUAAACCUGGCUAUUUAGAAACUUAACUUUUUUAAAAAAUAAGAAACUUUUUUGUUAAAAUGAAUCAAGAGUAUCCCAGAUGUAUAGUUAACAAUAGCUGGUUGACAAAGAGAAGUCUGUGGGCACAGAAUAAUAAUCAUUUUACAAAAAGAACCGAAAUUCUAGUUUUUUUUGUGUGCCAAUCAUGUAACGAUGCAGUAAAGGAUUUAUAAACCCUUUUCAUUAUUAAUAAAUCCAUUGAGCCAAC
RNAcentral lists this long non-coding RNA (9454 nucleotides) under Equus caballus (horse). RNAcentral's name for it is "lncRNA (ENSECAG00000052087.1)". The stretch from base 809 to 941 matches the Rfam family "Small nucleolar RNA SNORA71". Lineage: Eukaryota; Metazoa; Chordata; Mammalia; Perissodactyla; Equidae. The record is from RNAcentral.